RNAcentral lists this long non-coding RNA (384 nucleotides) under Hordeum vulgare. Its description in RNAcentral is "long non-coding RNA (HVUL_LNC021549)". Lineage: Eukaryota; Viridiplantae; Streptophyta; Magnoliopsida; Poales; Poaceae. The record is from RNAcentral.
AGAAAUGAGGCUUGAGAUGAGCUCCAGCGUCUCCAUGCCUUCCACAAAUGAAAGGUAGAGUUCUUGCAGAGAGGAUGGGAAAGGGCAGCAGGAAGGAGAGGACAACGUCGUCGAUUGUCAAAGCAUUGCUAGAUUACACACAUAUUCCAUCAAUGUUUGAUACUUUCUUCACAGAUGCAUCGCUUCAUGUUCUCAGUGCUGACAGGAAGAAAGUAGUCCAGGCUAAAUGAUUAAACACCCCAAUGGCGGUAGCCUAGGCAUCUUUCCGCAAUUUUUUCAUCCCAUUUUUGCCCAGUUGGUUGUAAUUUAUGCAUUUCACAUGUAAAGACAAAUAAAACUGAAGCAACUGCACAUAAUAUUUAUAUCGGCAGUGCAUAGUUCAAG